ACGACUCUCGACAACGGAUAUCUCGGCUCUCGCAUCGAUGAAGAACGUAGCGAAAUGCGAUACUUGGUGUGAAUUGCAGAAUCCCGUGAACCAUCGAGUCUUUGAACGCAAGUUGCGCCCGAAGCCAUCAGGCUAAGGGCACGUCUGCCUGGGUGUCACGCAU
This 163-nucleotide ribosomal RNA is filed under the name Prangos gaubae. RNAcentral describes it as "5.8S ribosomal RNA". It matches the Rfam family "5.8S ribosomal RNA". From Rfam's summary of the family: 5.8S ribosomal RNA (5.8S rRNA) is a component of the large subunit of the eukaryotic ribosome. It is transcribed by RNA polymerase I as part of the 45S precursor that also contains 18S and 28S rRNA. The record is from RNAcentral. Lineage: Eukaryota; Viridiplantae; Streptophyta; Magnoliopsida; Apiales; Apiaceae.